RNAcentral lists this long non-coding RNA (203 nucleotides) under Mytilus galloprovincialis (Mediterranean mussel). The record is from RNAcentral. Lineage: Eukaryota; Metazoa; Mollusca; Bivalvia; Mytilida; Mytilidae.
GACGUACACAUCACCAAUUAUUCAUAACAAAAACACAUGCUGCUAUAAAAUGCUUAUUUAUUACAUAUUGUUCUGUUUAAGGGAGUAAACAUUAUUUAUUUUAUAAACAUGUAACAGACAGCCAGAACAAAAAAAAAAAAAUUUUUCCAAACUCUUAAGCAAAUAUUCAAGUUAUGAAAAAGACAAAAGAAACAAAAACAGGC